This 283-nucleotide long non-coding RNA is filed under the name Brassica napus (rape). RNAcentral describes it as "long non-coding RNA (BNAP_LNC001283)". Lineage: Eukaryota; Viridiplantae; Streptophyta; Magnoliopsida; Brassicales; Brassicaceae. The record is from RNAcentral.
UUCACUAAAAUCAGUAAAAGAUAAGCACGUAAGUAUUAAUCAUUGUGUAUCGAUCAUUCCCACAAAACAAUUACAUAUAAUAACCACAAAUAAACGUUAAUAUACAAGUCAAACAUAAAAUAACGAUAUGUAUCCACAAAAAACUGAACCAUAAACACAUAAAGCAAGCAGUGGAAAGGGCGAGAUUGACAAAUAUUCUUAUGUGAUACAUGAGAAAUAAAUAUACAAAGAAACAAUUAACCGACUGGUUAGAAGUGUUAAUCCAAAAAUAUAUAAAUGUACU